GCUGACGGGAGCGCAACUGACGCUCAUGCUCGAAAGUGCGGGUAUCGAACAGGAUUAGAUACCCUGGUAGUCCGCACGGUAAACGAUGGAUGCCCGCUAUUUGUCCAUUAGGAUAAGUGGCCAAGUGAAAACGUUAAGCAUCCCACCUGGGGAGUACGCCGGCAACGGUGAAACUCAAAGGAAUUGACGGGGGCCCGCACAAGCGGAGGAACAUGUGGUUUAAUUCGAUGAUACGCGAGGAACCUUACCCGGGCUUGAAUUGUGAGAGAAGGAUCCAGAGAUGGUGACGCCCUUCGGGGCUCUCAUGAAGGUGCUGCAUGGUUGUCGUCAGCUCGUGCCGUGAGGUGUCGGCUUAAGUGCCAUAACGAGCGCAACCCCUCUCUUCAGUUGCCAUCAGGUUAAGCUGGGCACUCUGGAGACACUGCCACCGUAAGGUGUGAGGAAGGUGGGGAUGACGUCAAAUCAGCACGGCCUUUACGUCCGGGGCUACACACGUGUUACAAUGGGUGGUACAGAGAGUUGGGUGCCCGCAAGGUCACUCUAAUCAAUAAAUCCAUCCUCAGUUCGGACUGGGGUCUGCAACCCGACCCCACGAAGCUGG
Molecule: ribosomal RNA, 601 nt
Filed under: uncultured bacterium
Lineage: Bacteria
Description: bacterial SSU rRNA
Rfam family: Bacterial small subunit ribosomal RNA
Source: RNAcentral